RNAcentral lists this ribosomal RNA (447 nucleotides) under uncultured bacterium. Its description in RNAcentral is "bacterial SSU rRNA". It matches the Rfam family "Bacterial small subunit ribosomal RNA", at positions 331 to 792 of the family's 1533-position model. The record is from RNAcentral.
CCAGACUCCUACGGGAGGCAGCAGUGGGGGAUAUUGGACAAUGGGGGGAGCCCUGAUCCGGCGACGCCGCGUGAGUGAAGAAGUAUUUCGGUAUGUAAAGCUCUGUCAGCAGGGAAGAAAGCAAUGACGGUACCUGACCAAGAAGCCCCGGCUAACUACGUGCCAGCAGCCGCGGUAAUACGUAGGGGGCAAGCGUUAUCCGGAUUUACUGGGUGUAAAGGGAGCGUAGACGGCCAUGCAAGUCUGAUGUGAAAGCCCGGGGCUCAACCCCGGGACUGCAUUGGAAACUGUGCGGCUGGAGUGUCGGAGAGGCAAGUGGAAUUCCUAGUGUAGCGGUGAAAUGCGUAGAUAUUAGGAGGAACACCAGUGGCGAAGGCGGCUUGCUGGACGACGACUGACGUUGAGGCUCGAAAGCGUGGGGAGCAAACAGGAUUAGAUACCCGAGUA